AAGUGUGCCAUGUAGACAUAACUUCAUUUGUGGGGGAGAUAAUCCACCUAUAUUUAAGAGAGAAAGAAGUCUCAAGCAAAUCUUUAAAUCUGAAUGUUUUUAAAUAUUGACCAAGUCUAAGCUUGAAUCUAUAAUCAAACUCUAUGAAAGACAAAUACUAGGUUAGGAUGCCAGGGAUAAUCCUGCCUUGGCCAGGGGGCAGGGCUGGACUAGAUGACUUUGUGAAGUCCCUUCUAGCCCUGCCUUCCUAUGUUCCUCAUAUUUAUACUGAAUGAGCAAACCUUCUGGACUCCCAGUUGUUCAAAACCCAGAUCUGAAGUUUGUGGCUUGAGUCUGUCUCAGCUUUAUGAGUAGUAUAGUGUUCUUGGCCUGAAGAUGAGAAAACAGUCAAGAUUUUCUCAGAUACUUGGGCUCAUGUGCAAGAGGUCCCCUGUGGCCCACAGCUGAUACUGCUAGUACCAGUGAAGUCCAAGUAUAGUUAUAGUGGGCAGGCUGAGGUAGGGUGGGGUAUGAUUAGAGCAAUACUGGACUCUACCAGUUCACCACUGUUGAAUGGGGACUGCAGACAAGUGAUAGACUUUAGAGGAGGCCCUGGGCCAGUCUAAUCUAGGCUGGGGCUCGGGCAGAAAUAGAACUGACUUUAGAAGCAGGGACCCCUAACAAACUCCUUGGCAGGCUCCUCUCAACUCUGCUGAGAAAUAAGGGGUGCAUUCCAACAUAGAUAUUAUUAGAUGAUAGGGUCAGAAGGGAACUCAGUAGGUCAUCUAGUCUGACCCCCUGCCCUAACAGCAAAAUAAUCUGGGAUAGACUGAACAACUGUGGCUGGUAAAUCAAGGGGAAAUACAGAGGAACCAGGAAAAUUUUCUUUUGUCCUUCAGCCAGACAACACAAGUGCUGGUGGCUAGGCCCACAAAACCUACUGUGUCUUGUGACAGCUGCAUGAGCGUGUCUUGAUUACACAGCUAGUCUACAGUAUUUGCAAGGUAAUAUCAGCUCUUAACUAGCCUGCACCACUAAUCCUAUCACUGAACUCUGCUAAUAGGCAUUUCUGCAGUUGUGACCUUAAAAAUAAUUUCUUGUCUAAAAAAAAAGCAAGGGAAUAUUCCUAUGACAUUCCAGUGAAGACUGCUGCUUGGGAAAACAGUGUGCCUGGGAAAGAAAACAACUCUUUGAAUGCUUCAGGGUGAUUCUAGUUCUGCCAGCUGGUCGAGGCAUCUCAGAUGGUUACUACCUUUGGCACCAGGCAACCCUGAGAGAGUCAGAAGAGCCAGCACUCCAGUACCCAAGCAGCAAAUGAGCCUAUGUUCCAGAUAUAAAAAUGCUUUUAGAGGAAAGAAGGGCAAGCCCCUGCAGAGUCAGCAGCAGAACAAAAUCAGAGUGCCCAUACCCCAGCUGCUGUCAUCCAAAGUGCUGGCAUGCUGGAAGUCAGCACUACUUGCACCACAGGACAGAGACUAGGAUGUUAAAUUGCUGUUAAACACCCAGAGAUCAACAGACUGCCUUUCACUGGGUGAUCUUUUUAUCAAGACAAAGGAAAAACAGUAUCUUACAUCUGUCUGGAAUUUAUUAAAGCAUCUACAACAUAAUCACAUGGAACAAUGAAGGAACUGACCAGCAGGAAGACAGCAACAGGAAACGUUGGAAGGGGAAGUAUUGGUGGUGAAGCAGGAUGACUACCAGAUCUUCUAAAGCAGAGGUGGGCAAAAUCCAGCCUGCAGGCUGGAUCUGGCCUGCAAAGGGAUUUUUGCCCAGCCCACAAUGCAGUGGCCAGACUCUAUUUCCUGGCAGCCCUAGUAGCAGCAACUACUAUGACUGCCGCUGCUGGACCUGGCCCCACUGAGCACACUGCCUCAUAGGUGCUGACUUUUAUUUUUGCCAGGUGGAGGCCUAAGAUGAUGCCACCUUGCACCCUUGUGGCAUGGCCGAAGCAGAGCCAAACGGAGCCUGUGGGAGUUGGAUACAGGCUGCCCGCUGCAGGCUUGGGGCUUCCCACCCUGCUGCUCUUCCCCUGGG
Molecule: long non-coding RNA, 2013 nt
Organism: Gavialis gangeticus (Gharial)
Lineage: Eukaryota; Metazoa; Chordata; Crocodylia; Gavialidae
Exons: 4
Source: RefSeq, a predicted model, not a curated record